RNAcentral lists this ribosomal RNA (1479 nucleotides) under Lacticaseibacillus rhamnosus. RNAcentral describes it as "bacterial SSU rRNA". It matches the Rfam family "Bacterial small subunit ribosomal RNA". The record is from RNAcentral. Lineage: Bacteria; Bacillati; Bacillota; Bacilli; Lactobacillales; Lactobacillaceae.
CGGUUGGGGGGGUGCCUAAUACAUGCAGUCGAACGAGUUCUGAUUAUUGAAAGGUGCUUGCAUCUUGAUUUAAUUUUGAACGAGUGGCGGACGGGUGAGUAACACGUGGGUAACCUGCCCUUAAGUGGGGGAUAACAUUUGGAAACAGAUGCUAAUACCGCAUAAAUCCAAGAACCGCAUGGUUCUUGGCUGAAAGAUGGCGUAAGCUAUCGCUUUUGGAUGGACCCGCGGCGUAUUAGCUAGUUGGUGAGGUAACGGCUCACCAAGGCAAUGAUACGUAGCCGAACUGAGAGGUUGAUCGGCCACAUUGGGACUGAGACACGGCCCAAACUCCUACGGGAGGCAGCAGUAGGGAAUCUUCCACAAUGGACGCAAGUCUGAUGGAGCAACGCCGCGUGAGUGAAGAAGGCUUUCGGGUCGUAAAACUCUGUUGUUGGAGAAGAAUGGUCGGCAGAGUAACUGUUGUCGGCGUGACGGUAUCCAACCAGAAAGCCACGGCUAACUACGUGCCAGCAGCCGCGGUAAUACGUAGGUGGCAAGCGUUAUCCGGAUUUAUUGGGCGUAAAGCGAGCGCAGGCGGUUUUUUAAGUCUGAUGUGAAAGCCCUCGGCUUAACCGAGGAAGUGCAUCGGAAACUGGGAAACUUGAGUGCAGAAGAGGACAGUGGAACUCCAUGUGUAGCGGUGAAAUGCGUAGAUAUAUGGAAGAACACCAGUGGCGAAGGCGGCUGUCUGGUCUGUAACUGACGCUGAGGCUCGAAAGCAUGGGUAGCGAACAGGAUUAGAUACCCUGGUAGUCCAUGCCGUAAACGAUGAAUGCUAGGUGUUGGAGGGUUUCCGCCCUUCAGUGCCGCAGCUAACGCAUUAAGCAUUCCGCCUGGGGAGUACGACCGCAAGGUUGAAACUCAAAGGAAUUGACGGGGGCCCGCACAAGCGGUGGAGCAUGUGGUUUAAUUCGAAGCAACGCGAAGAACCUUACCAGGUCUUGACAUCUUUUGAUCACCUGAGAGAUCAGGUUUCCCCUUCGGGGGCAAAAUGACAGGUGGUGCAUGGUUGUCGUCAGCUCGUGUCGUGAGAUGUUGGGUUAAGUCCCGCAACGAGCGCAACCCUUAUGACUAGUUGCCAGCAUUUAGUUGGGCACUCUAGUAAGACUGCCGGUGACAAACCGGAGGAAGGUGGGGAUGACGUCAAAUCAUCAUGCCCCUUAUGACCUGGGCUACACACGUGCUACAAUGGAUGGUACAACGAGUUGCGAGACCGCGAGGUCAAGCUAAUCUCUUAAAGCCAUUCUCAGUUCGGACUGUAGGCUGCAACUCGCCUACACGAAGUCGGAAUCGCUAGUAAUCGCGGAUCAGCACGCCGCGGUGAAUACGUUCCCGGGCCUUGUACACACCGCCCGUCACACCAUGAGAGUUUGUAACACCCGAAGCCGGUGGCGUAACCCUUUUAGGGAGCGAGCCGUCUAAGGUGGACCAAAAAUG